UACGUAGGGGGCAAGCGUUGUCCGGAAUCAUUGGGCGUAAAGAGCGUGUAGGCGGCCAGAUAAGUCCGCUGUGAAAUCUCGAGGCUCAACUUCGAGCUGUCGGUGGAAACUGUCUGGCUAGAGUCCGGAAGAGGAGAAUGGAAUUCCUGGUGUAGCGAUGAAAUGCGCAGAUAUCGGGAGGAACACCGGUGGCGAAGGCGGUUCUCUGGGCCUUACCUGACGCUGAGGAGCGAAAGCGUGGGGAGCGAACAGG
Molecule: ribosomal RNA, 253 nt
Filed under: uncultured bacterium
Lineage: Bacteria
Description: partial 16S ribosomal RNA
Rfam family: Bacterial small subunit ribosomal RNA
Source: RNAcentral